RNAcentral lists this ribosomal RNA (254 nucleotides) under uncultured bacterium. RNAcentral's name for it is "partial 16S ribosomal RNA". It matches the Rfam family "Bacterial small subunit ribosomal RNA", at positions 524 to 776 of the family's 1533-position model. The record is from RNAcentral.
UACAGAGGUGGCAAGCGUUGUUCGGAAUUACUGGGCGUAAAGGGCGCGUAGGCGGUCUUUUAAGUCUUGUGUGAAAUCCCUCGGCUCAACUGAGGAACUGCACGGGAUACUGGAAGACUUGAGUUCGGGAGAGGGAAGCGGAAUUCCGGGUGUAGCGGUGAAAUGCGUAGAUAUCCGGAGGAACACCGGUGGCGAAGGCGGCUUCCUGGACCGAUCACUGACGCUGAGGCGCGAAAGCUAGGGGAGCAAACGGG